UAGUUAUUUUCUUUAAACCUAAAGAAUUUGGCGGUGUUUUAGUCUAUUCAGAGGAAUCUGUCCCGUUAUCGAUAGUCCCCGUUAUAUCUUACUUUAUUUUGUUUAUUCAGUAUGUAUACCGCCGUUAUAAGUUUAUUUUAUUAGAAUUUUUUAAUUUACUUAAAAUAAAAUUUUAUUUUAUUUCAGGUCAAGGUGCAGUUUAUAAUUAAGUGGAGAUGGAUUACAUUUUUGGUUGAAAAUAUGGAUAUGUUUAAAUUUAAAAAUUUCAUUGAAGGUGGAUUUGAUAGUAAUAUUUUAAAUAAUAAUUAUUUGAUUUUAGCUCUAAAAUAAGCACACAUCGCCCGAUCGCUCUA
Molecule: ribosomal RNA, 353 nt
Filed under: Medaura jobrensis
Lineage: Eukaryota; Metazoa; Arthropoda; Insecta; Phasmatodea; Phasmatidae
Description: partial small subunit ribosomal RNA
Source: RNAcentral